GGGGAAUUUUCCGCAAUGGGCGCAAGCCUGACGGAGCAACGCCGCGUGGGGGAGGAAUGUCUGUGGAUUGUAAACCCCUUUUCUCAGGGAAGAAGUUCUGACGGUACCUGAGGAAUCAGCAUCGGCUAACUCCGUGCCAGCAGCCGCGGUAAGACGGAGGAUGCAAGCGUUAUCCGGAAUUAUUGGGCGUAAAGCGUCCGUAGGCGGUUUAUCAAGUCUGCUGUCAAAGACUACAGCUUAACUGUGGGCAGGCGGUGGAAACUGAGGAACUGGAGUGCGGUAGGGGUAGAGGGAAUUCCCAGUGUAGCGGUGAAAUGCGUAGAUAUUGGGAAGAACACCAGUGGCGAAGGCGCUCUACUGGGCCGUAACUGACGCUGAGGGACGAAAGCUAGGGGAGCGAAAAGGAUUAGAUACCCC
RNAcentral lists this ribosomal RNA (417 nucleotides) under uncultured Leptolyngbya sp. RNAcentral's name for it is "bacterial SSU rRNA". It matches the Rfam family "Bacterial small subunit ribosomal RNA", at positions 356 to 788 of the family's 1533-position model. The record is from RNAcentral. Lineage: Bacteria; Bacillati; Cyanobacteriota; Cyanophyceae; Leptolyngbyales; Leptolyngbyaceae.